AGUCAAGUAAUUAAGUGCAUGUGGUGGAUGCCUUGGCAGUCAGAGGCGAUGAAAGACGUGAUAGCCUGCGAAAAGCUCCGGGGAGGCGGCAAAUAUCCUUUGAUCCGGAGAUGUCUGAAUGGGGGAACCCACCUACUUUAAGGUAGGUAUUGCAACAUGAAUACAUAGUGUUGCAAGGCGAACGAGGGGAAGUGAAACAUCUCAGUACCCUUAGGAAAAGAAAUCAAUUGAGAUUCCCUCAGUAGCGGCGAGCGAACGGGGAUCAGCCCAUUAAGUUAUGUGUGUUUUAGUGGAACGCUCUGGGAAGUGCGAACGUAGAGGGUGAUAUUCCCGUACACGAAAGGGCACACAUAAUGAUGACGAGUAGGGCGAGGCACGUGAAACCUUGUCUGAAUAUGGGGGGACCAUCCUCCAAGGCUAAAUACUCCUGACUGACCGAUAGUGAACCAGUACCGUGAGGGAAAGGCGAAAAGAACCCCUGUGAGGGGAGUGAAAUAGAUCCUGAAACCGCAUGCAUACAAGCAGUGGGAGCACCUUCGUGGUGUGACUGCGUACCUUUUGUAUAAUGGGUCAGCGACUUAUAUUCAGUAGCGAGGUUAACCGUAUAGGGGAGCCGUAGAGAAAUCGAGUCUUAAUAGGGCGUUUAGUUGCUGGGUAUAGACCCGAAACCAGGCGAUCUAUCCAUGAGCAGGUUGAAGGUUGGGUAACACUAACUGGAGGACCGAACCCACUGUCGUUGAAAAGCCAGGGGAUGACUUGUGGAUAGGGGUGAAAGGCUAAUCAAGCCUGGUGAUAGCUGGUUCUCCCCGAAAGCUAUUUAGGUAGCGCCUCGGACGAAUACCAUAGGGGGUAGAGCACUGUUUCGGCUAGGGGGUCAUCCCGACUUACCAAACCGAUGCAAACUCCGAAUACCUAUGAGUACUAUCCGGGAGACAGACUGCGGGUGCUAACGUCCGUAGUCAAGAGGAAAACAAUCCAGACCGCCAGCUAAGGCCCCAAAAUCAUAGUUAAGUGGGAAACGAUGUGGGAAGGCAUAGACAGCUAGGAGGUUGGCUUAGAAGCAGCCACCCUUUAAAGAAAGCGUAAUAGCUCACUAGUCGAGUCGGCCUGCGCGGAAGAUGUAACGGGGCUAAAACUAUGUGCCGAAGCUGCGGAUGUAUACUUUGUAUACGUGGUAGGGGAGCGUUCUGUAAGCCGAUGAAGGUGUGUUGAGAAGCAUGCUGGAGGUAUCAGAAGUGCGAAUGCUGACGUGAGUAACGACAAAACGGGUGAAAAACCCGUUCGCCGAAAGACCAAGGGUUCCAGUCCAACGUUAAUCGGGGCUGGGUGAGUCGACCCCUAAGGCGAGGCCGAAAGGCGUAGUCGAUGGGAAAAUGGUUAAUAUUCCAUUACUUCUGUGUAAUGCGAUGAGAGGACGGAGAAGGCUAAAUCAGCCUGGCGUUGGUUGUCCAGGUGAAAGGAUGUAGGCAUGUAUCUUAGGCAAAUCCGGGGUACUCUAUGCUGAGAUCUGAUAGCAAGCUGUACUUGUACAGCGAAGUGGUUGAUGCCAUGCUUCCAGGAAAAGUCUCUAAGCUUCAGUUACACAGGAAUCGUACCCGAAACCGACACAGGUGGUCAGGUCGAGUAGACCAAGGCGCUUGAGAGAACUCUGCUGAAGGAACUAGGCAAAAUGGUACCGUAACUUCGGGAGAAGGUACGCUGUUGUUGGUGAUGGAACUCGCUUCCUGAGCUGACGACAGCCGCAGAAAACCAGGCCGCUGCAACUGUUUAUUAAAAACAUAGCACUCUGCAAACACGAAAGUGGACGUAUAGGGUGUGAUGCCUGCCCGGUGCUGGAAGGUUAAUUGAUGGGGUUAGCGUAAGCGAAGCUCUUGAUCGAAGCCCCAGUAAACGGCGGCCGUAACUAUAACGGUCCUAAGGUAGCGAAAUUCCUUGUCGGGUAAGUUCCGACCUGCACGAAUGGCAUAAUGAUGGCGGCGCCUGUCUCCAGCAGAGGCUCAGUGAAAUCGAAAUCGCUGUGAAGAUGCAGUGUACCCGCGGCUAGACGGAAAGACCCCGUGAACCUUUACUGCAGCUUGACACUGAACUUUGACCUUACUUGUGUAGGAUAGGUGGGAGGCUUUGAAGCUGGAACGCUAGUUCCAGUGGAGCCGUCCUUGAAAUACCACCCUGGUAAUGUUGAGGUUCUAACUCUGUCCCGUGAUCCGGGACGAGGACCGUGUCUGGUGGGUAGUUUGACUGGGGCGGUCUCCUCCUAAAGAGUAACGGAGGAGUACGAAGGUGCGCUCAGCGUGGUCGGAAAUCACGCGUAGAGUAUAAAGGCAAAAGCGCGCUUAACUGCGAGACCCACAAGUCGAGCAGGUACGAAAGUAGGUCUUAGUGAUCCGGUGGUUCUGUAUGGAAGGGCCAUCGCUCAACGGAUAAAAGGUACUCUGGGCGAUAACAGGCUGAUACCGGCCCAAGAGUUCAUAUCGACGGCGGUGUUUGGCACCUCGAUGUCGGCUCAUCUCAAUCCUGGGGCUGAAGCAGGUCCCAAGGGUAUGGCUGUUCGCCAUUUAAAGAGGUACGCGAGCUGGGUUUAGAACGUCGUGAGACAGUUCGGUCCCUAUCUACCGUGGGCGCUGGAAAUUUGAGAGGAUCUGCUCCUAGUACGAGAGGACCAGAGUGGACGAACCUCUGGUGUACCGGUUGUGACGCCCCAGUCGCAUCGCCGGGUAGCUAUGUUCGGAAGGGAUAACCGCUGAAAGCAUCUAAGCGGGAAGCCUACCUCAAGAUAAGA
This 2779-nucleotide ribosomal RNA is filed under the name Acinetobacter baumannii UH9907. RNAcentral's name for it is "bacterial LSU rRNA". It matches the Rfam family "Bacterial large subunit ribosomal RNA". Lineage: Bacteria; Pseudomonadati; Pseudomonadota; Gammaproteobacteria; Moraxellales; Moraxellaceae. The record is from RNAcentral.